This 477-nucleotide ribosomal RNA is filed under the name uncultured bacterium. RNAcentral describes it as "bacterial SSU rRNA". It matches the Rfam family "Bacterial small subunit ribosomal RNA", at positions 28 to 512 of the family's 1533-position model. The record is from RNAcentral.
GACGAACGCUGGCGGCGCGCCUAACACAUGCAAGUCGAACGAGAGAGAGGAAGCUUGCUUCCUCAAUCGAGUGGCGAACGGGUGAGUAACGCGUGAGGAACCUGCCUCAAAGAGGGGGACAACAGUUGGAAACGACUGCUAAUACCGCAUAAGCCCACAGGUCGGCAUCGACCAGAGGGAAAAGGAGUAAUCCGCUUUGAGAUGGCCUCGCGUCCGAUUAGCUAGUUGGUGAGGUAACGGCCCACCAAGGCGACGAUCGGUAGCCGGACUGAGAGGUUGAACCGGCCACAUUGGGACUGAGACACGGCCCAAACUCCUACGGGGAGACAGCCAGUUAGGAAUAUUCGUCAAUGGGGGAAACCCUGGAACGAGCAAGUGCCGCGUGAGCGAAGAAGUAUUUCGGGAUGUAAAGCUCUAUCAGCAGGGAAGAUAAUGACGGUACCUGACUAAGAAGCACCGGUCUAAAUACGUGCCAGC